UACAGAGGGUGCGAGCGUUAAUCGGAAUUACGUGGGACGUAAAGCGCACGUAGGUGGCGACGUAAGUCGGGUGUGAAAGCCCGGGCUCAACCUGGGAAUUGCAUUCGAGACUGCAUUGCUGGAGUACGGAAGAGGAGGGCGGAAUUCCACGUGUAGCAGUGAAAUGCGUAGAUAUGUGGAGGAACACCGAUGGCGAAGGCAGCCCCCUGGGCCGAUACUGACGCUCAUGCACGAAAGCGUGGGGAGCAAACAGGAUUAGAUACCCGAGUAGU
This 272-nucleotide ribosomal RNA is filed under the name uncultured bacterium. RNAcentral's name for it is "partial 16S ribosomal RNA". It matches the Rfam family "Bacterial small subunit ribosomal RNA", at positions 524 to 794 of the family's 1533-position model. The record is from RNAcentral.